UACGUAGGGCGCAAGCGUUGUCCGGAAUUAUUGGGCGUAAAGAGCUCGUAGGUGGUGUGUCGCGUCUGCCGUGAAAGCCCGGGGCUUAACUCCGGGUCUGCGGUGGAUACGGGCAGACUAGAGGCAGGUAGGGGAGAACGGAAUUCCCGGUGUAGCGGUGAAAUGCGCAGAUAUCGGGAGGAACACCGGUGGCGAAGGCGGUUCUCUGGGACGGUACUGACGCUGAGACGCGAAAGCGUGGGGAGCGAACAGG
This 253-nucleotide ribosomal RNA is filed under the name uncultured bacterium. RNAcentral's name for it is "partial 16S ribosomal RNA". It matches the Rfam family "Bacterial small subunit ribosomal RNA", at positions 524 to 776 of the family's 1533-position model. The record is from RNAcentral.